CCGCCGCCUGGCAUGCUUCUCCAGUCGAGGAAGCUCGCCCGGCGCCAGCAGUCGCAGCAGCCACAGCAGUUCAGCUUCCCACAGCCACAGCACCUCCUGCCGCAGGACUUCACUCCGCGGCAGCGCCCAGGCGACCUGCCCGUUCUCCCGCAGCUCCAGCCUUGGCCGCCUGCAGACAAAUGGCACCGCCAAGGAGGCACGGGGAGCCCUCCCAAGACUCCGGCCCCGGGGCGAGGGCAGCGCAGCCGAGCCCCUCAACGCAGGCUUGGCCUCCUCCACGCCGCUGGUAAACCCCGCGCCAGGCUCCUUGGAGUCCUCCAAACCACCCUCUGCUCAACAGUCCUAGUAAACUCCCGCCAGGCGGGGCACUGGGCGCGGGCGCCUUCAGCAGCCUGCAGAGCCCAUGCCUUCAGCACCCUGACAAAGGGGGAGGUGACGCCGCGUCUCCCUGCAGCUGCCUGGCUUUGACACCCCCUGGUUGGUGAAGACCGCAUCACCGCCACCGCAGUCCCAGCAGCCUCCGGCGCCCCAGCCGCCGCCGCCAAAGCCGCCCCUUCACAGCCACAGAAGCCGCCGCGCCACAGCGGCAGGCGCCCGGCUUCUUGGCCACCACCCCGGGCAGCGGCGGUGGAGGCGAGCUCAGCGCUAUGCCAACGCCCAGCCCCGACUCGGAGACCGGCUUCUACCCCGGGCUCCCAUCGUCUAUGAACCCGGCCUUCUUCCCAAGCUUCUGGCCCGUGUCGCCGCAUGGCUGCGCAGGGCUCAGCGUGCUGGCGAGCGGAGGUUGCCGCGGCCCCUUCUAGGCGACCGCCAGGACCCCACCGCCGCCUGCCACAAAUUUAACUCAGCUGCAGCCCCCGCCGCCCGCCGCCCGCGGCGCCGCAACAGCCGCUGACCCGGAGGUCGCCCUUCAGCCCGCAGCUCCAGCAGGAGCACCAGGCGGCGGUCGCCGCCUUCCUGCAUCAGAGGAACUCUUACAACCACCACCAGCCUCUUCUGAAACAAUUGCCUUGGAGCAACCACCAGAGCAGUGGCUCGGACAUUGGAAGCAUGUCUGGGGAGCAGUGCAUGGCAGAGAUCAUCCUAGAACUGGAAACACGGAAAUUCCAGGAACCAUGAAUCAGAUAUCUUCAUUGAAGAAACCAUUCUCUGGUCAUGUCAUAGCACCACCGAAAUUUACUCGCUCUACUCCAUCACUGACUCCAAAAUCUUGGAUUGAAGAUAAGGUGUUCAGAACAGACAACAAUAGUAAUACACUGUUAUACUUACAGGUGAGAUCUAGUUUGCAGUUGCCAGCUUGGGGCUCAGAUUCACUCCAAGAUAGUUGGUGCAUUGCAGCUGGAACAUCCAGAAGAGAAACCGGGAUCGAAGCAGAAUAUAUGACAGUUUAAAUAUGCACUCUUUGGAAAAUUCCCUCAUUGAUAUUAUGAGAGCAGAGCAUGAUCCCCUCAAGGGUCGAUUGAGUUAUCCACAUCCAGGAACUGACAAUCUGUUGAUGUUAAAUGCUGUGAAUAAAACCCUGAAUAAGAUUACUGAGAAACCAGGAUCAAAUUGUAAACUCACUUCUUACAGGCAAGGUCUUCAAGCUAUUCUCAGAACCUUCUAGCUAUCUUUAAAUACAUGAAGAAGUUCACCCAUCAAUAAUAUAUUUAUCAUGCAUG
This 1661-nucleotide long non-coding RNA is filed under the name Marmota monax (woodchuck). The record is from RNAcentral. Lineage: Eukaryota; Metazoa; Chordata; Mammalia; Rodentia; Sciuridae.